RNAcentral lists this ribosomal RNA (1465 nucleotides) under Escherichia coli. Its description in RNAcentral is "bacterial SSU rRNA". It matches the Rfam family "Bacterial small subunit ribosomal RNA". The record is from RNAcentral. Lineage: Bacteria; Pseudomonadati; Pseudomonadota; Gammaproteobacteria; Enterobacterales; Enterobacteriaceae.
CUUCGCUGACGAGUGGCGGACGGGUGAGUAAUGUCUGGGAAACUGCCUGAUGGAGGGGGAUAACUACUGGAAACGGUAGCUAAUACCGCAUAACGUCGCAAGACCAAAGAGGGGGACCUUCGGGCCUCUUGCCAUCGGAUGUGCCCAGAUGGGAUUAGCUUGUUGGUGGGGUAACGGCUCACCAAGGCGACGAUCCCUAGCUGGUCUGAGAGGAUGACCAGCCACACUGGAACUGAGACACGGUCCAGACUCCUACGGGAGGCAGCAGUGGGGAAUAUUGCACAAUGGGCGCAAGCCUGAUGCAGCCAUGCCGCGUGUAUGAAGAAGGCCUUCGGGUUGUAAAGUACUUUCAGCGGGGAGGAAGGGAGUAAAGUUAAUACCUUUGCUCAUUGACGUUACCCGCAGAAGAAGCACCGGCUAACUCCGUGCCAGCAGCCGCGGUAAUACGGAGGGUGCAAGCGUUAAUCGGAAUUACUGGGCGUAAAGCGCACGCAGGCGGUUUGUUAAGUCAGAUGUGAAAUCCCCGGGCUCAACCUGGGAACUGCAUCUGAUACUGGCAAGCUUGAGUCUCGUAGAGGGGGGUAGAAUUCCAGGUGUAGCGGUGAAAUGCGUAGAGAUCUGGAGGAAUACCGGUGGCGAAGGCGGCCCCCUGGACGAAGACUGACGCUCAGGUGCGAAAGCGUGGGGAGCAAACAGGAUUAGAUACCCUGGUAGUCCACGCCGUAAACGAUGUCGACUUGGAGGUUGUGCCCUUGAGGCGUGGCUUCCGGAGCUAACGCGUUAAGUCGACCGCCUGGGGAGUACGGCCGCAAGGUUAAAACUCAAAUGAAUUGACGGGGGCCCGCACAAGCGGUGGAGCAUGUGGUUUAAUUCGAUGCAACGCGAAGAACCUUACCUGGUCUUGACAUCCACAGAACUUUCCAGAGAUGGAUUGGUGCCUUCGGGAACUGUGAGACAGGUGCUGCAUGGCUGUCGUCAGCUCGUGUUGUGAAAUGUUGGGUUAAGUCCCGCAACGAGCGCAACCCUUAUCCUUUGUUGCCAGCGGUCCGGCCGGGAACUCAAAGGAGACUGCCAGUGAUAAACUGGAGGAAGGUGGGGAUGACGUCAAGUCAUCAUGGCCCUUACGACCAGGGCUACACACGUGCUACAAUGGCGCAUACAAAGAGAAGCGACCUCGCGAGAGCAAGCGGACCUCAUAAAGUGCGUCGUAGUCCGGAUUGGAGUCUGCAACUCGACUCCAUGAAGUCGGAAUCGCUAGUAAUCGUGGAUCAGAAUGCCACGGUGAAUACGUUCCCGGGCCUUGUACACACCGCCCGUCACACCAUGGGAGUGGGUUGCAAAAGAAGUAGGUAGCUUAACCUUCGGGAGGGCGCUUACCACUUUGUGAUUCAUGACUGGGGUGAAGUCGUAACAAGGUAACCGUAGGGGAACCUGCGGUUGGAUCACCUCCUUACCUUAAAGAAGC